ACAAAUUGCCUAAUCAAAUAUCAACUUUUGGCACAAAUACCUUAAUCAACCAUUUUGGCGAUAAAUAGCCCAAACAUCAAUUUUUGGCAAUAAAUUGCCCAAUCAAACACCUUUUGGCAACAAAUGCCUAAAACAAAAAAUCAAUCAAUCUUUGGCAAAAAUGCCUAAAAAAUGCACGAAGCAUGCACACACUCAUGCAUGAAGCAUACCCCUUC
This 215-nucleotide long non-coding RNA is filed under the name Jatropha curcas. RNAcentral describes it as "long non-coding RNA (JCUR_LNC002743)". The record is from RNAcentral. Lineage: Eukaryota; Viridiplantae; Streptophyta; Magnoliopsida; Malpighiales; Euphorbiaceae.